Molecule: long non-coding RNA, 1175 nt
Filed under: Homo sapiens (human)
Lineage: Eukaryota; Metazoa; Chordata; Mammalia; Primates; Hominidae
Description: HSALNT0307782
Source: RNAcentral
AACUCUUGAGCUCAAGUAAUCCUCCUGCCUUGGACUCCAAAAAUGCUGGGAUUAUAGGCAUGAGUCACCACACCUGUCCCACCUGUUUGCCACUUUUCUUUGAAGACCUAUUUCAUAUAUGCAUCUUUCAUAGCAUCUGAAGUAUUGUAUCACACUUUUAAUAUCCUUGUUAUUUUAUUAGACUAUGUUCCUUAAAGACUGAGGCAUGUCUACUUCAUUUUGUUAUUUAUAGCAUCCUGCACAGUGUCUGACACUUAUUAAACAUUUGCUGAAUUGGUGAUGAAAUUAAUUAAUUUAGGGGAGCUUACUUAGUUCCAACUGCUAUCCUAAGUGACUAUAUAGAUAGAUAUGGAGUGAAUAUUAUAUAAAUAUUAAACAAAAGUUCUCUGCCUUCAAGGUGGUUAUUGUUUAGUGGAGAAGAGGGCAUGUAUAUGAGUAAAUAGAGUAACAGUAAAAAGUAGUUUGCUAUAUAGAACAUGUUACGGUAUUUGAAAGGAAAGAGAAAUUACUCAAGAUGUUUCUUAGGACUGUCAGGUUUUACAUGGUGUUAUAAAGAUGAAGUUACACACUUCACUAUUAAAAAAUUCCUGUUCAAAAGAAAACAAAAUAAUAAAGUACAGAAAUCAAACUAACUCUUCCACAAGACUAAUAAGUACCUGUAACUGUGAAAACAGAGAGAGGGAGGGAGGGAGAGAGAGAGAGAGAGAGAGAGAGAGAAAGAGAGAAACAGAGAGAAACAGAGACAGUUACAGAAAUGAUCAAAGAAUUAUAGAUACAGUGAAAACAUAGUAAAGAUGCAACAACUACCAAAUAUAGUCAUGUAGUCUAACAAAGUUCUUCUUGUUAAUCAUUGUAGCAAGGCAGUGUAUGCACACAACUGGAAAGACUGGAGCAACUCAGAAUGGAAUGAGAAACUGUGUUGUUUGGGACAGUGAUGGCACCAGCUGGAUAUGAUUCUCAGGUUCCCUUGAAAUUAGGGAUGGCCUUAUGAUAGUUCUUGUCCAUCAGGCAUAAGCAGAAAUGUUGGCCAUUUGGGAAAAGCUUCAGUUUUAUCAGCAGAUAUACAUUCAUACUUUGAGGCGGCUGGCAAGAUGGCGGAAUAGAAACAGCUUCGGUCUGCAGCUCCCAGCGAGAUCAACCCAGAAGGCGGGUGAUUUCUGCAUUUCCAACUGAGG